CAAAGGUUAGUUUAAUCUUAUUUUAAAAUAAUAAUUUUGGGAAUUGUUGAUGAAUUUAUAUUUACCUUUGA
Molecule: transfer RNA, 71 nt
Filed under: Phryganistria guangxiensis
Lineage: Eukaryota; Metazoa; Arthropoda; Insecta; Phasmatodea; Phasmatidae
Description: tRNA-Pro
Source: RNAcentral